Molecule: ribosomal RNA, 253 nt
Filed under: uncultured bacterium
Lineage: Bacteria
Description: partial 16S ribosomal RNA
Rfam family: Bacterial small subunit ribosomal RNA
Source: RNAcentral
UACAGAGGGUGCAAGCGUUAAUCGGAAUUACUGGGCGUAAAGCGUCCGUAGGUGGCUAGUCAAGUCUGCGGUCAAAGACUGGGGCUUAACCCUGGAAAGGCCGUGGAAACUGACGAGCUAGAGUGCAGUAGGGGUAGAGGGAAUUCCCGGUGUAGCGGUGAAAUGCGUAGAGCUCGGGAAGAACAUCGGUGGCGAAAGCGCUCUACUGGACUGCAACUGACACUCAGGGACGAAAGCUAGGGGAGCGAAUGGG